This 125-nucleotide ribosomal RNA is filed under the name Streptococcus danieliae. RNAcentral's name for it is "partial 23S ribosomal RNA". It matches the Rfam family "Bacterial large subunit ribosomal RNA", at positions 2800 to 2925 of the family's 2925-position model. Lineage: Bacteria; Bacillati; Bacillota; Bacilli; Lactobacillales; Streptococcaceae. The record is from RNAcentral.
CAAGAUGAGAUUUCCCAUCAGUAAUGAAUAAGAGCCCUGAGAGAUGAUCAGGUAGAUAGGUUAGGAGUGGAAGUUGUGUGAGCAAUGUAGCGGACUAAUACUAAUAGCUCGAAGACUUAUCCGAA